Molecule: ribosomal RNA, 503 nt
Filed under: uncultured Geobacter sp.
Lineage: Bacteria; Pseudomonadati; Thermodesulfobacteriota; Desulfuromonadia; Geobacterales; Geobacteraceae
Description: bacterial SSU rRNA
Rfam family: Bacterial small subunit ribosomal RNA
Source: RNAcentral
AACGAACGCUGGCGGCGUGCCUAACACAUGCAAGUCGAACGGAGGUAAAGAGCUUGCUCUUUACUUUAGUGGCGCACGGGUGAGUAACGCGUAGAUAAUCUGCCUGAUGAUCUGGGAUAACACUUCGAAAGGGGUGCUAAUACCGGAUAAGCCCACGGAUUCUUUGGAUUCUGCGGGAAAAGGGGGGGACCUUUUGGCCUUCUGUCAUCAGAUGAGUCUGCGUACCAUUAGCUAGUUGGUAGGGUAAUGGCCUACCAAGGCUACGAUGGUUAGCUGGUUUGAGAGAAUGAUCAGCCACACUGGAACUGAGACACGGUCCAGACUCCUACGGGAGGCAGCAGUGGGGAAUUUUGCGCAAUGGGCGAAAGCCUGACGCAGCAACGCCGCGUGAGUGAUGAAGGCUUUCGGGUCGUAAAGCUCUGUCGAUGGGAAAGAAGUGUAUUGUGGCUAAUAUCCACGAUACUUGACGGUACCCAUAAAGGAAGCACCGGCUAACUCCGUGC